AAGUCGUAACAAGGUUUCCGUAGGUGAACCUGCGGAAGGAUCAUUAAUGUACCGGAUCGGUUCGGGUGGAGUAGGCAGUGAUGCUUGGUCCGGGCUGGGCGUCCGGCAAGGGAAAGGGUAAAUUCCAAUUAACCCAACCCCCUGUGUUAAAUCUACCUUUGUUGCUUUGGCGGGGCCGUCCGCGAGGCGUCAGCUCCGGCUGACCGCGCCCGCCAGAGGACCCAAACUCUUUUAUCAGUGAUGUCGAGUACUAUAUAAUAGUUAAAA
RNAcentral lists this unclassified non-coding RNA (267 nucleotides) under plant metagenome. RNAcentral describes it as "partial contains small subunit ribosomal RNA and internal transcribed spacer 1". The stretch from base 1 to 46 matches the Rfam family "Eukaryotic small subunit ribosomal RNA", at positions 1786 to 1831 of the family's 1831-position model. The record is from RNAcentral.